This 346-nucleotide unclassified non-coding RNA is filed under the name soil metagenome. RNAcentral describes it as "partial contains 5.8S ribosomal RNA, internal transcribed spacer 2, and large subunit ribosomal RNA". The stretch from base 1 to 120 matches the Rfam family "5.8S ribosomal RNA", at positions 35 to 154 of the family's 154-position model. The record is from RNAcentral.
GAUGAAGAACGUAGCGAAAUGCGAUACGUAGUGUGAAUUGCAGAAUUCAGUGAAUCAUCGAGUCUUUGAACGCACAUUGCGCCCCCUGGUAUUCCGGGGGGCAUGCCUGUCCGAGCGUCAUUGCUGCCCUCAAGCCCGGCUUGUGUGUUGGGUCUCGUCCCCCUUCCCGGGGGGACGGGCCCGAAAGGCAGCGGCGGCACCGCGUCCGGUCCUCGAGCGUAUGGGGCUUUGUCACCCGCUCUGUAGGCCCGGCCGGCGCUUGCCGAUCAACCAAAACUUUUUUCCAGGUUGACCUCGGAUCAGGUAGGGAUACCCGCUGAACUUAAGCAUAUCAAUAAGCGGAGGA